This 513-nucleotide ribosomal RNA is filed under the name uncultured bacterium. Its description in RNAcentral is "partial 16S ribosomal RNA". It matches the Rfam family "Bacterial small subunit ribosomal RNA", at positions 28 to 523 of the family's 1533-position model. The record is from RNAcentral.
GAUGAACGCUGGCGGCGUGCCUAAUACAUGCAAGUCGAGCGAACAGACGAGGAGCUUGCUCCUCUGACGUUAGCGGCGGACGGGUGAGUAACACGUGGAUAACCUACCUAUAAGACUGGGAUAACUUCGGGAAACCGGAGCUAAUACCGGAUAAUAUAUUGAACCGCAUGGUUCAAUAGUGAAAGACGGUUUUGCUGUCACUUAUAGAUGGAUCCGCGCCGCAUUAGCUAGUUGGUAAGGUAACGGCUUACCAAGGCAACGAUGCGUAGCCGACCUGAGAGGGUGAGCGGCCACACUGGAACUGAGACGCGGUCCAGACUCCUACGGGAGGCAGCAGUAGGGAAUCUUCCGCAAUGGGCGAAAGCCUGACGGAGCAACGCCGCGUGAGUGAUGAAUGUCUUCGGAUCGUAAAACUCUGUUAUUAGGGAAGAACAAAUGUGUAAGUAACUAUGCACGUCUUGACGGUACCUAAUCAGAAAGCCACGGCUAACUACGUGCCAGCCGCCGCCGUAA